Molecule: non-coding RNA, 906 nt
Organism: Coffea arabica (coffee)
Lineage: Eukaryota; Viridiplantae; Streptophyta; Magnoliopsida; Gentianales; Rubiaceae
Source: RefSeq, a predicted model, not a curated record
ACUUAUCAAUCUAGAAUCGCACUAGGUUGUGGCGUCUUCUACCAUUAUACCAAGGUUCGUUAACCACGUGAUUAACGGGUUGAGGUCAUCCGCUCCAAACUUGGUGUCCUCUUGUCGAUCCUGAAUCUAAUCUUUUACGGGUUUCGUCACAAGGUUGGCGACGUUCGUAUCACCGUUGGAGAAAAAUUUUCACCUUUUCUUCAUUAUUUGCGCAUGAGUUUUCAUUUGACUGCGUAGAUUGCAGUUAUAUAUUUCUCCCCUUCAUUUUGAACAAGAAAUGGCAAACACUGCUUCAGCAGUGGAAUCCUAGGUGAAGCAACACAGUGUAAUAGAGCAGCAAGCAUCUGAGGAACUUUGCCGACAAAUCGGGCAUGCGUGGAAGCUCAUGAACCAACAAACUCCUUGACCCCAGUACUCCUUCCUGGAUCUGCUGCAGCUGAAAUUUUCCUCCCAAGGCUGUCCUCCUUCUAGGUGUCAACUUGGGAUCCGUGAUAGAUGUUGAUGAAUAUACACGUGGGAGAAUUCAUGCGAAGUUACGUCAAUUCAAUAUUCCAAUCUUGUAACCCCCCAAGGCUGUCCUCCAUUGAGUGGUCAAUCUGGCAUGUUUGAUGGAUGCUGACGAACAUAUAUAUGUGGGAGAAUUCACGCGAAGUUACAUCAAUUUAAUGUUCAUUGAGCCCAACCUCGGACAAGUAAUAUAACAAGUAAUAAAUCAAUAAUUGAUUGUAAGGAAAAAAAAAUGGUACUCAAAGCCUAAUCGUUAGUGAAUAAUCUCUUUUGGAAAAGAAAAGAGGUGUUAAUGGAAUUGAUAGAUGUCGUGCAUGUGUAAUAAUAAAUUACUACUCUUAGAGAUGUAAAUAAGUAUAAUGGCAAAUGGGUACGUCUCCGCAGGGAUUUGGAGGAGAA